AAUCCAUAGGUUAAUGAGGCGAACCGGGGGAACUGAAACAUCUAAGUACCCCGAGGAAAAGAAAUCAACCGAGAUUCCCCCAGUAGCGGCGAGCGAACGGGGAGGAGCCCAGAGCCUGAAUCAGCAUGUGUGUUAGUGGAAGCGUCUGGAAAGGCGCGCGAUACAGGGUGACAGCCCCGUACACAAAAGCGCAUGUGCUGUGAGCUCGAUGAGUAGGGCGGGACACGUGGUAUCCUGUCUGAAUAUGGGGGGACCAUCCUCCAAGGCUAAAUACUCCUGACUGACCGAUAGUGAACCAGUACCGUGAGGGAAAGGCGAAAAGAACCCCGGCGAGGGGAGUGAAAAAGAACCUGAAACCGUGUACGUACAAGCAGUGGGAGCACCCUUUGGGUGUGACUGCGUACCUUUUGUAUAAUGGGUCAGCGACUUAUAUUCUGUAGCAAGG
RNAcentral lists this ribosomal RNA (445 nucleotides) under Salmonella enterica. RNAcentral's name for it is "partial 23S ribosomal RNA". It matches the Rfam family "Bacterial large subunit ribosomal RNA", at positions 161 to 645 of the family's 2925-position model. Lineage: Bacteria; Pseudomonadati; Pseudomonadota; Gammaproteobacteria; Enterobacterales; Enterobacteriaceae. The record is from RNAcentral. RNAcentral also lists the same sequence under 2 other names.